Molecule: ribosomal RNA, 253 nt
Filed under: uncultured prokaryote
Description: partial 16S ribosomal RNA
Rfam family: Bacterial small subunit ribosomal RNA
Source: RNAcentral
UACGUAGGUGGCAAGCGUUAUCCGGAAUUAUUGGGCGUAAAGCGCACGCAGGUGGCGACUUAAGGCUGACGUGAAAGCGCCUGGCUUAACUGGGCGAGGUCGUUGGCAACUGGGUCGCUUGAGGCGAGGAGAGGGGCGUAGAAUUCCCGGUGUAGUGGUGGAAUGCGUAGAUAUCGGGGGGAAUACCAGAGGCGCAAGCGGCGCCCUGGCCUGUGCCUGACACUCAUGUGCGAAAGCGUGGGGAGCGAACGGG